This 844-nucleotide unclassified non-coding RNA is filed under the name Hevea brasiliensis (rubber tree). Lineage: Eukaryota; Viridiplantae; Streptophyta; Magnoliopsida; Malpighiales; Euphorbiaceae. The record is from RNAcentral.
UCAAGUUAUCCGAAAUGAUUCGUGGCGGUUCACCCGUAAUAUAUGACCGAAACAAGACUUCAAGGUUCGGAAUUUUGUCAAAAAAUGACGAAAACGAAUCAAGAAUCCGAUGGGUUGAUGUGCCAAAUUGUUUUUGCUUCCAUUUGUGGAAUGCAUGGGAAGAAGUUGGCAGCAAUGGUGACAAAAUUAUCGUGGUUAUCGGGUCUUGCAUGAACCCUCCGGACUCCAUCUUCAACGAAUCCGAAAUUCCAAUUCAAAGUGAAUUAUCCGAAAUUCGGUUGAAUUUGAAUACUGGAGAGUCGAUCCGGAGUGCUGUAGUGUCGGGAAUGAAUUUGGAAGCAGGCCAAGUAAACCGAAAACGUCUGGGUGAGAAAACCCGGUUCGUUUACUUGGCAAUAGCAGAGCCAUGGCCUAAGUGUUGUGGCAUUGCUAGGGUUGAUCUGCAGAGUCGAGAAGUGACCAAAUUUAUGUAUGGUGAAGGAAGGUUUGGUGGUGAGCCAUUUUUGGUGGCGAAAAAUGGGCGAGUUGAUGAAAUUGGCAAGGAAGACGAAGGGUACGUAAUGGGUUUUGUGAGGGACGAGAUGAAAGAAAGGUCUGAGUUGGUGAUAGUAAAUGCAUCAAGCAUGGAGCAAGUAGCUUCUGUGAGGUUGCCCACUAGAGUGCCUUAUGGGUUUCAUGGCACUUUUGUUAGUGAAGAUGAAUUAAGAGGACAAGCUUAGCUAGCUUUAAUGAAGAAUUAUUAUCUGCUAUUUCUACACAUGAUCAAUAGAUUAAUAAGCCUAGAUUGUAGUUUUGUAUAUAGGUUUCAAAAUAAAAUGAAUGAAAAAGCAUGUUCAUGUACAAG